This is a non-coding RNA of Pelobates cultripes (western spadefoot toad), 240 nucleotides long. The record is from the annotation of a GenBank genome assembly. NCBI's taxonomy places the organism in Eukaryota, Metazoa, Chordata, Amphibia, Anura, Pelobatidae.
GAAUUAGGUAGCAAACUGAAGAAAAACUCCACCCAGGUAGUAUUUUCAGCUAUAUUACCUGUGCCACCCGCUACAGUGGAAAGGCAGCGUGAGAUUAGAGAGGUCAAUGUGUGGCUGAAGUCUUGGUGCAGGAAGGAGGGUUUUGGGUUUUUAGAGCACUGGGCUAACUUUGCGCUUGGGUACAACCUGUAUAGUCGUGGUGGAUUGCACCUAAACGGAAGAGGGUCUGCUAUACUAGGG